Molecule: ribosomal RNA, 440 nt
Filed under: uncultured bacterium
Lineage: Bacteria
Description: partial 16S ribosomal RNA
Rfam family: Bacterial small subunit ribosomal RNA
Source: RNAcentral
CCUACGGGAGGCUGCAGUAGGGAAUAUUGCUCAAUGGGGGAAACCCUGAAGCAGCAACGCCGCGUGGGGGAAGACGGUUUUCGGAUUGUAAACCUCUGUCCUCUGUGAAGAUGAUGACGGUAGCAGAGGAGGAAGCUCCGGCUAACUACGUGCCAGCAACCGCGGUAAUACGUAGGGAGCGAGCGUGGUCCGUAUUUACUGGGUGGAAAGGGUGCGUAGGCGGCUUGGCAAGUCAGUAGUGAAAUCCAUGGGCUUAACCCAUGAACUGCUAUUGAGACUGUCGAGCUUGAGGGAAGUAGAGGGAGGCGGAAUUCCCGGUGUAGCGGUGAAAUGCGUAGAGAUCGGGAGGAACACCAGUGGCGAAGGCGGCCUACUGGGCUUUAACUGACGCUGAGGCACGAAAGCGUGGGUAGCAAACAGGAUUAGAUACCCCGGUAGUC